This 2352-nucleotide ribosomal RNA is filed under the name Triticum aestivum (bread wheat). RNAcentral describes it as "partial small subunit ribosomal RNA". The record is from RNAcentral. Lineage: Eukaryota; Viridiplantae; Streptophyta; Magnoliopsida; Poales; Poaceae.
AUGAUGGCAUCUCCUGUCUCCGGCUCCAGACAUAACUCCAUGGGCACCAACGGAGCUACGGAGCCAACCAGUCUUACAGUCAGUGUAUUGCAGAAAAUCACAGAUAAUUUUUCCAAAGAGAGAACACUUGGUAAAGGCGCAUAUGGAAAGGUUUUCAAGGGGGUGCACGACAAUGGAGAAGAGAUUGCUGUGAAGCUGCUUCAUAAUAACAUGCGAGCAAUUGACGAUGAGCAAUUCAAGCAAGAAUUUAAUAACCUUAUGAUGCUCAACCAUCCGAACAUUAUACGGCUAGUUGGCUACUGCUACGAAACACAACAUCAACAUAUGGAAUUCCAAGGGAAAUUAAUUUUUGUUGAGAUGACAUAUAGAGCGCUUUGUUUCGAGUAUAUGCACAAGGGAAGCCUUCAGAAGUAUCUAUCUGAGGAAUCACAAGGACUUGAUUGGGACACACGUUACAAAAUAAUCAAGGGUACUUGCGAGGGCCUAAAAUACCUCCACGAAGGAUCCAAAGAGCCAAUCUACCAUUUGGACCUAAAACCUGACAAUAUACUGCUAGAUGAGAAUAUGGAGCCGAAACUUGCUGAUUUUGGUUUGUCCAAGCUUUUUGGUGAAGAACAAACUAGAAUCACACAGUCUCCCCUAGGAACGUUUGGAUACAUGCCGCCGGAAUACAUAAAUGGAAACAUAGUCUCGAAGAAGUGGGACAUAUUCAGCUUGGGAGUUGUGAUGACAAAGCUAAUUUCAGGGCCGAAAGGCUACUCCAGAAGUUACGAAAUGCCUUACCAAGAAUUUCUUGAUCUAGUACAGGAUAACUGGAGGAGCAGAUUGCAGGCAACAUCGAGUUCGUCCCAGCCACUAGAAGCACACUGUCAGCAAGUGGACAUAUGCACCAAAAUAGCGCUCAGCUGCAUGGAGUCUGAUAGGCACAAAAGGCCCACUAUAUUGGAUAUCAUAGCUAAGCUGAAUGAAACUGAAACUAUGAUUGAUGAGGCGUUGUCAUGGUCUGCAGCUAUGCGUUCAUGGAUGCAGGGAGACUUGGUGAAGUUAGAAGCCUUCACGAAAAGCGAAGCGAUUCCAAGCAAAGAGACGUGCAGUGAGUUCCCUGUGCUGUUGCGGAUCACGGUGACACCAUGGCAUGGCAUGGAAGAGAUGCCACGCGGGGGCGUGGACGUCGUGGUGGUGAUCGAGGUUGACUGGUCCAUGGUGCUUCAGUGGAGGCUGGAUAUCAUCAAGCAGGCCCUGAUGAUCGUCAUCGACAAGCUUGGCCCCAACGAUCGGCUCUCCAUCUUGUCAUUCGAGGGCAAUAUACCCCGCAUUAUGGAGCUCACACUCAUGUCCCGCCAAGGCCAAGAUGCUGCCAAACUCAUUGUCAAUGAGCUGGUGGUCAACCAUGGCUACAAUAUAAUUGCCGCCCUGCGAGAGGGAGCUGAGAUUCUGAGGGGGCGUCAAGCGGAGGAGGGUGACAGCCGUGUGGGCUGCAUCAUGUUGCUGUCGGACAAUAAUGACAUCAAUGGAAUCAAGGACAGGUACGACAAGGAAAUCAGCUCCGAAUUCCCGGCCUAUGUCUUUGGCCUGGGCGAGCUACACCACCCGGAGGUCAUGAAGUACCUAGCCGACAGGACCCACGGCACCUACUCUUUCGUCCACUACGACAUCAACGCCAUGAAGGAUGCCUUCGAGCUGUUCAUCAGUGGCCUCACAACGGUCGCCGCAACGGCCGUCAAGAUCACCCUCAAGGCCCACGAGGGUGUCUUCAUAUCAUCCAUCUACACCGGCGGAUACCACCAAUCUGUGAGCUCUGACAAACGAUCCGGCGAGAUACAUGUCGAGAGCAUGUACGCCGGCGAGCGGAAGAACUUCAUCGCCUACCUUAAAGUCGCCGACGGCGACAAGAAGAGGCUACUGACCGUUGGCGGCCGGUACCGGACCUUAAUGGCCAAGAAGAAGCUGGCUGACACGGACGUCUCCGUGCUGCGACCAGGUUCGGCAUGCUCACCUGCCGAGAUGGCCAUCCACCCUGAGGUGGCGGCGGAGCUCGUGCGGAUCCGGCUUCGGAAAGGCGUGGUCACGAUGAGUCGAAACCCUGAUGCCCUAGAACAGCUAUGGGCCCGCGUCAAGUGCUCCGAGGAGGGCGGAGGCGCACCCGAGGAAACCUUGUCGGCGCUCGGCAAUGACGUGGCUGAAAUUAAGAGAGUCAUCACGCACAACAGGUCGCCUCCUUACAUGAUGUCAUGGCUGACUGCUAGUGCAUGGCAGCGCGCAACCACCAAGGGCGCACGCUGCGUCUCCGGCGCUUUCACCGUGCCGGGGCAGCAGAAAGAUGCAGACGCGAAGGACAAUGGCCGCAAGUAA